AUUGAACGCUGGCGACAUGCCUUACACAUGCAAGUCGAACGGCAGCACGGGAGCAAUCCUGGUGGCGAGUGGCGAACGGGUGAGUAAUAUAUCGGAACGUGCCCAGUCGUGGGGGAUAACGUAGCGAAAGCUACGCUAAUACCGCAUGCGAUCUAUGGAUGAAAGCGGGGGAUCGCAAGACCUCGCGCGAUUGGAGCGGCCGAUAUCAGAUUAGGUAGUUGGUGAGGUAAAGGCUCACCAAGCCGACGAUCUGUAGCUGGUCUGAGAGGACGACCAGCCACACGGGGACUGAGACACGGCCCAGACUCCUAGGGGAGGCAGCAGUGGGGAAUUUUGGACAAGGGGCGCAAGCCUGUUCCAGCAAUGCCGCGUGCAGGAUGAGGGCCUUCGGGUUGUAAACUGCUUUUGUACGAAACGAAACGGUGAGCUCUAAUACAGUUUGCUAAUGACGGUACCGUAAGAAUAAGCACCGGCUAACUACGUGCCAGCCGCCGCCGUAA
Molecule: ribosomal RNA, 500 nt
Filed under: uncultured bacterium
Lineage: Bacteria
Description: partial 16S ribosomal RNA
Rfam family: Bacterial small subunit ribosomal RNA
Source: RNAcentral